CUUCCGGUCCGGUGCGCAGCGCCCGCGGCCGCCGGGCGCCUUGGAAGGCUCUCGCCAUUUCCUGCGUUCUGCAGGAGCACUAAUUGAAAAUUUGGGUGGCCUUGCUUAUUUAUUUUUCUGGAACGCAGUGGGUUAUAUUUUCAUGGCAUUUUCUCAGCAGUGCGGCGUUUCCAUUUCAAACUACAACAAUGAGAAGAAAAGCCAGUCGCCGUGAGCGGCCGACGCGCGGAGGGCCCCGCUCUGGCUGUGGUCCUGCGGCUGUACUAACUAGAUCCAAGCCCGCAGACGCCGCUCCUUCGGGAAACUAAAAGACAAGUUUACUUCCUUUUAGAAGAAGAGAAAACACAGGGAAAUGCUCCGUUACCGUGACAAGUGAAGGCUAAACAAGAGGAUUAGAAAUACUUUUCAGCAUGGCUGACUCCUCCCCGACAUGGCUGUGAAAUAGCAAACCUAAAAUGUUUUUCCAAGAAAUGUAUUUCAGAGAAGAAACAAGAGCAAACCGCUUCUCCUGACUUGCCCUCUCCUGGUGCAGCCGGGAGCUGCCCUUUCACGUCAGUGGCGAUGCAGCACCGCAGAGAAUGUUUUACACUUGGUGCACAGACAAAACUCGCAGCUCAAUGUAGGCAUCGCCCAAAGGAACUUAAUGCCCCAAAUUUCGAAACUAUGCCUAAUAACAACACGCAGUGUGGGCUGCAGGGUUUACAUCACAGAGGAGAGGCCGGUGUCAACAGAGGCCCUGGGAAGGGACAGGAUUGCCGAAUGGUUCGUACAAAACAAAACACACAAGCCUAAGUAUGAGCUAUCUUCCCAUCUGCUUUCUCUUGAAACUUAACAACUUAGACAGAAACCUGGGAUAUGUACAGUGUGGAUAACAGAAUUCUUGGAUCUAUGUAUUGGCUUUCUAUGUCUGACAUUCGACUGUAAACAAGUGACAACUCACCUGAUCUGGAUUAGUUUUUCCAAAGCAUGGGCAAAAUACACCAGGUUCCUGAUCUCUUUUUCUUGAGCACGUGAGUUGGUUCUUCUGCACAUUUCCUUGUAACAGAAGCACAAAGAAGUGAUGUUCUAAGCCAGCGAGGAGCCAACUGGCUCUCCAGGACCAUGUUUGCCAGUGCAGACGGCCACCUCAGCCGAGCCCGGAGAGAGGGCGCCCUGUGGCCGGGAAGCCCACACCCUCCCAGUGGUUCUCCAGUUACAGUCCUGCUUGCAGAAGCAGAAGAGCUGUUGAAAGCAAAACACCAGUAAACGAUCUUCCUAUGAUGACCGGUUCAGCCACAAAAGAGAAGUGUGUUAAUCAGAGAAGUUUUUAAAAAUUAGAACGCCGCUGUUGGCAUUUUUUCACAUGGAAUUCUGCUGAAGACCUCAAUUUACAGAAAAGAUCAGAGAUGUGGGGAAAUAAAUACUGAAGCCAUGACCGAGGAGGCAGGACGGUGAUGCAAGGAGGGGUGAAAUGAGGCUAAGAUGAAGCAAACUGAGCAUCUGAGGCCCUUGAGCCUCGAAAUCCACCCGCAACACCGCCAUUGGGCAGGGACAUCUCCUUUCCCAUUCCCUACAUGCCACCCUCCUCGGUAGUUCCCAUCUCUGAGUUUAAUUUUUCAGUCUUUUUUUUAUAGUGUGUGUGUGUGUGUGUGUGUGUGUCUGAAUAUAUGUGUGUGUAAAUGUACACACAUGUGGCUAUGUGUAUGGGAGGGUAUUGUGUGUGUUCAUGAGUGUGUAGCUGGGGUGUAUGUUUGCAGUGUGCAUUGACAAGCAGGUGUGUCUGCGUGCAUGUGUGCUUGUGUGUGUAGUGAGCAGUGGUAGUCAGUUGCUACUGGUGAAAAAGAAAAGGCUGGGGCCGGGGAUUUAGCUCAGUGGUUCCACCGCCUGCCUCGAAAGCUCAAGGACCCAAGUUCAAUCCCCGGUACCAAAAAAAGAAAAAAGAAAAGACUGGUUUCAUCAGGACCAUUUGCCCUGUAAGGAAGGAGGGGCACAAACAGGAAAGGGGGAGGAGAGGGAAUAAGGGAGGAACAAGGAGGAACUUGUCAGGUUGUUGGCUCAAUUUUCUUUUCUCUGUCAACCUGCACAUUUUUCUUUUGCUUUCAUUCUUUCCUUUUUCUUUGUCUUUCUUUCCCUUUUUCUUUAAAAUUCACCUGUUGUCAGUCAUUUUACCGUGGCCUGGAAUUGACUUAGGGGACAUCCGUAACCAGAGCACAUGGAGGUGCUGACACUGUGGUCUCCCACAGAUUUGUGCGCAUUAAGGAAGGAUUUCCCUUCUGAGUGUUUCUCAGAAAUUGAAGAUUAUUAUUAAUAGGGAGUGUUAAUAGUGUUACAGAUAUGCUGAGAAAAGAAUGAAUCAGUUUUUUCAUUGAUCAGAGUUCACUGAUCAGAAUCACUAAAUUUUCCAUAUUUCAUUUUUAAGUAAGUCAAUUGCUAAGAAUGUAGAAAAGUAGUUCAUUAAAUGUUUUACUUCAAAUAAUGCUUCCAUAAUGAGAAAUUUUAAUUUACACUUAAAAUAUAAGAGACCUUAGGUUUAUUGAAGUUAAUUUGGUGUUGCUAUUUUUUUAUAUGCUAAGAAAACAUGAAAUCUUUUUGGAUAGAAUAACUUCAAUUCUGUGGCUGAACUUAUGCAUUCUAUUAUCAUAUUCAUAAGAAAUGUCAGUAUUCUAAAUUAUUUGGGUUUAUUAAGUGUGUAGUUAUUAGAUUCUUAGUCAGGGGUGCAUAGUUUCAAAAACAUUUGAAUAAUUUGUCAUUGUCAUCUUUCAAAAAUACUUAUAUGUGUAUACUUAUCCUCAUGUGAAGUUACAAAUGUAACUUUCUGUAUUUUAAUAGCUAUAUCAAUAACGCAUCUGCAAAUGUACACAUAGAAUGUGAAUUUUAAUAUAUUCCCAAUAUGCAUAAUAUCACAUCAAAAAUUGGAAGGUGAACAGCUCAUGGGGCAGUUACCGUGUUGAAGUAGUGAGUUUAUAUUUGUUUCUGUUGUAAAAAAGAUUGGUUGAAAAUAGCCUUCUUUCCAGAACAAUUCCUAGAGCACUUGAUUACCCUAAACCUAGCCAGGAUAAUGGGACUUUAUUUGGUUUCACUCAAAUCUUUCUAAUAUAAAUGUGUGCUUUUAAAGAAAAGCAGAUUCUUCAGAGUUUGAGUGGUUUUGUUCUUUUUGUUAAAGAUUUUCCUCCAAGAGACUUUCUUGGGCAGCUGAUCUGUAUCAGGCCUCCUGGUGAACCCUGACCAAACAACACCUGUGCACCCAAAAAAACAAAUAAAAACGAGGACCAACAA
Long non-coding RNA from Heterocephalus glaber (naked mole-rat), 3255 nucleotides. RefSeq lists it as uncharacterized. Lineage: Eukaryota; Metazoa; Chordata; Mammalia; Rodentia; Bathyergidae. The record is from RefSeq and is a predicted model, not a curated record.